This is a long non-coding RNA of Corythoichthys intestinalis (scribbled pipefish), 698 nucleotides long. RefSeq lists it as uncharacterized. NCBI's taxonomy places the organism in Eukaryota, Metazoa, Chordata, Actinopteri, Syngnathiformes, Syngnathidae. The record is from RefSeq and is a predicted model, not a curated record. The transcript is spliced from 3 exons.
AGUUCCACACAACUGUGGUGUGAUGUUUUUUUUUUUUUUUUUUUUCUUUGUUUUGUUUUUCCUUCUUCUGUCUGUGUAUUGAAUCUUGUGUUUAGGAGGUCGGAUAAUUAAACCUUGACUGGCUCUGUGCUUUUGUCAAAAUAAAAGCAUUUAAUUUUGAGGAACAGACGCAAAUGUUAACUCAUGAGCUGCUGUUGACGGUGAUAGAUGUCCAAUUCGUUUCAGCUGUGAUGGAGUGGCAGAAAUUAGUCACUGAAAUAGCGCUCAGAGCCGUCAGAUGUCAUCUAGAGAAAUUAUGGAUCGGAUGAAUGGAUUGCGACCGCCAGCCAAGGUCGUUUAUCAUUACAUUUCCGCAUGCAGAUUUGCCCUCCACAGCCACUGUUUUCUUAGUCUUAAGAGUGAUACAAGCUUGCCGAUUUUUAACAUCUUAGGGGUGUAAUGAUUCGAUUCGUAUCAUCAUUCGUGGUUGCCGAUUCAAUUCAAGGGCAGUAUCGGUUCUUUUGGAACGAUGCGACUCAGUGGCUUGGAAUUGAUUCACUUACUUUUUAGUUUAAAGAUUGCACAAGUAUCACUGUGAAACUUCUGGAUACUUUGCAGUUCGCAGAUUUUUAUUUCUGGAAGGAAAUCGGUUACAAAAUUAAAUAUGGACAUUCAAGAUUUUCCUGUAUUUGUACUGCUGUGGAAUUUAAAAAAAAAGG